RNAcentral lists this ribosomal RNA (497 nucleotides) under uncultured bacterium. Its description in RNAcentral is "partial 16S ribosomal RNA". It matches the Rfam family "Bacterial small subunit ribosomal RNA", at positions 28 to 507 of the family's 1533-position model. The record is from RNAcentral.
GAUGAACGCUGGCGGCGUGCCUAAUACAUGCAAGUCGAACGCAUAGCGAAAGGUGCUUGCACCUUUCAAGUGAGUGGCGAACGGGUGAGUAACACGUGGACAACCUGCCUCAAGGCUGGGGAUAACAUUUGGAAACGGAUGCUAAUACCGAAUAAAACUUAGUGUCGCAUGACACAAAGUUAAAAGGCGCUUCGGCGUCACCUAGAGAUGGAUCCGCGGUGCAUUAGUUAGUUGGUGGGGUAAAGGCCUACCAAGACAAUGAUGCAUAGCCGAGUUGAGAGACUGAUCGGCCACAUUGGGACUGAGACACGGCCCAAACUCCUACGGGAGGCUGCAGUAGGGAAUCUUCCACAAUGGGCGAAAGCCUGAUGGAGCAACGCCGCGUGUGUGAUGAAGGCUUUCGGGUCGUAAAGCACUGUUGUAUGGGAAGAACAGCUAGAAUAGGAAAUGAUUUUAGUUUGACGGUACCAUACCAGAAAGGGACGGCUAAAUACGUG